AGAAUCAACGCUGGCGGCGUGCCUAACACAUGCAAGUCGCACGAGAAAGGGACUUCGGUCCUGAGUAAAGUGGCGCACGGGUGAGUAACACGUGAAUCAUCUACCCUCGAGUGGGGAAUAACCUAGAGAAAUCUGGGCUAAUACCGCAUAACACUUACGAGUCAAAGCAGCAAUGCGCUUGGGGAGGAGUUCGCGGCCGAUUAGCUAGUUGGCGGGGUAAUGGCCCACCAAGGCGAUGAUCGGUAUCCGGCCUGAGAGGGCGCACGGACACACUGGAACUGAAACACGGUCCAGACUCCUACGGGAGGCAGCAGUGGGGAAUUUUGCGCAAUGGGGGAAACCCUGACGCAGCAACGCCGCGUGGAGGAUGAAGUAUCUUGGUACGUAAACUCCUUUCGAUGGGGAAGAUAAUGACGGUACCCAUAGAAGAAGCCCCGGCUAACUUCGCGCCAGCAGCCGC
Molecule: ribosomal RNA, 460 nt
Filed under: uncultured bacterium
Lineage: Bacteria
Description: SSU rRNA
Rfam family: Bacterial small subunit ribosomal RNA
Source: RNAcentral